Molecule: ribosomal RNA, 454 nt
Filed under: uncultured organism
Description: bacterial SSU rRNA
Rfam family: Bacterial small subunit ribosomal RNA
Source: RNAcentral
GCGCAGCAGUCGCGAAUUUUCUCAAUGGGGGAAACCCUGAAGGAGCGACGCCGCGUGGAGGAUGAAGGUCUUCGGGUUGUAAACUCCUGUCAUUUGAGAACAAGUGGCCGAACGUAACUGCUUCGGCCUUGAUAGUAUCAGAAGAGGAAGGGACGGCUAACUCUGUGCCAGCAGCCGCGGUAAUACAGAGGUCUCAAGCGUUGUUCGGAUUCAUUGGGCGUAAAGGGUGCGUAGGUGGCGCCGUAAGUCGGGUGUGAAAUUUCGGAGCUUAACUCCGAAACUGCAUUCGAUACUGCGGUGCUUGAGGACUGGAGAGGAGACUGGAAUUUACGGUGUAGCAGUGAAAUGCGUAGAGAUCGUAAGGAAGACCAGUGGCGAAGGCGGGUCUCUGGACAGUUCCUGACACUGAUGCACGAAGGCCAGGGGAGCAAACGGGAUUAGAUACCCGCGUAGU